AAAGGAAUAGACGGGGGCCCGCACAAGCAGUGGAGUAUGUGGUUUAAUUCGAAGCAACGCGAAGAACCUUACCAGGUCUUGACAUCCAACUAACGAAGUAGAGAUACAUUAGGUGCCCUUCGGGGAAAGUUGAGACAGGUGGUGCAUGGUUGUCGUCAGCUCGUGUCGUGAGAUGUUGGGUUAAGUCCCGCAACGAGCGCAACCCUUGUCACUAGUUGCUACGCAAGAGCACUCUAGUGAGACUGCCGUUGACAAAACGGAGGAAGGUGGGGACGACGUCAAAUCAUCAUGCCCCUUAUGACCUGGGCUACACACGUACUACAAUGGUCGUUAACAGAGGGAAGCAAUACCGCGAGGUGGAGCAAACCCCUAAAAACGAUCCCAGUUCAGAUUGUAGGCUGCAACUCGCCUAUAUGAAGUUGGAAUUGCUAGUAAUCGCGGAUCAGCAUGCCGCGGUGAAUACGUUCCCGGGCCUUGUACACACCGCCCGU
Molecule: ribosomal RNA, 491 nt
Filed under: uncultured bacterium
Lineage: Bacteria
Description: bacterial SSU rRNA
Rfam family: Bacterial small subunit ribosomal RNA
Source: RNAcentral